UGCGAGAAAUGUGAUACAAAGUAACAAUAUCCAGUUUUGGUGCCUAAUCGUUUUAAAAUUAGAUGUCUGCCUGUUAUAGACAUCAUGGGGGGGGGGGCGCAAAAAACUUCUACCUUAUUCCUUAGAACCAGAUUUAAUUCUUUUUCCUUGUACCCUAAUGGUAUUGUAAUUAAUAGCUGGUGCUUUUGUACUUGCUUGGUUUUCUAGAAGGUG
This 213-nucleotide long non-coding RNA is filed under the name Elaeis guineensis (African oil palm). Its description in RNAcentral is "long non-coding RNA (EGUI_LNC020322)". Lineage: Eukaryota; Viridiplantae; Streptophyta; Magnoliopsida; Arecales; Arecaceae. The record is from RNAcentral.